AUUGAACGCUGGCGGCAGGCCUAACACAUGCAAGUCGAGCGGAUGAAGGGAGCUUGCUCCUGGAUUCAGCGGCGGACGGGUGAGUAAUGCCUAGGAAUCUGCCUGGUAGUGGGGGAUAACGUCCGGAAACGGGCGCUAAUACCGCAUACGUCCUGAGGGAGAAAGGGGGGGAUCUUCGGACCUCACGCUAUCAGAUGAGCCCAGGUCGGAUUAGCUAGUUGGUGGGGUAAAGGCCUACCAAGGCGACGAUCCGUAACUGGUCUGAGAGGAUGAUCAGUCACACUGGAACUGAGACACGGUCCAGACUCCUACGGGAGGCAGCAGUGGGGAAUAUUGGACAAUGGGCGAAAGCCUGAUCCAGCCAUGCCGCGUGUGUGAAGAAGGUCUUCGGAUUGUAAAGCCCUUUAAGUUGGGAGGAAGGGCAGUAAGUUAAUACCUUGCUGUUUUGACGUUACCAACAGAAUAAGCACCGGCUAACUUCGUG
This 484-nucleotide ribosomal RNA is filed under the name uncultured bacterium. Its description in RNAcentral is "partial 16S ribosomal RNA". It matches the Rfam family "Bacterial small subunit ribosomal RNA", at positions 30 to 507 of the family's 1533-position model. The record is from RNAcentral.